Molecule: RNA transcript, 6259 nt
Organism: Cornus florida
Lineage: Eukaryota; Viridiplantae; Streptophyta; Magnoliopsida; Cornales; Cornaceae
Exons: 4
Source: RefSeq, a predicted model, not a curated record
UGUCUCUGAUAUUGUAUCAUUUUUUACCGCUCAUCUUGCCUUACCUUCAACAUGAGUUGCAGAAACACCAACCCCGUUUGUCUACUCCUGUAUGUAACACACCCUCUCUCUAUCCUUUGAAAAUUUUCAAAAACCUUACUAUUUAUUGGUCGAUUGUAUGCAAUGGAUGGAGGGUAGAAAAUUCCGCAGAGCGAGCGUACCAUAUACGCUAAUUCAUUCCGUGUUUCCAUCAUGAAUCAAUUUGAGAAGGAUAAUCGCUGAAGUUGGGACCUGAUGUCCACUUACACCUGGGAGGAUUUGCCUUGAAUGUCUUCGCGAAGGCAGACAAGCAAGACCGGACCGGGUGAGCUGAUUUGUGUGAUAAGUUUUUCCUUCUUUGUUUUUUUUUUUCAUUUUCUUUUUGAUGAUUAUUAUACAAGGAAUUGGAACACGUGUUAUGAGGUCCACAUUUAGGUGUAAUCUUAACUCUCUCAAAUCGUUUGAGGUCCACACACAGGCAUUUUGGAAGUACAUACAUGUUUCUAUGAUGUUCCCUUUUAUGUUUGUGAUAUGUGCACAAUGUGUCAACCAAUGUUCCUGUCACAAAAUUAGAUUUGAAAACCGUUUCCUCCCAUUAUGAUAUUUACCAAUCUGCUUGCAUUUGGACUACUACUCUUGUGGACAAGCUAAACUAUACUGUUAUAUAAGGUUGUUAUGUUCUUGGAUCCGCUUUGUAUCUUAGGGUUUGUAGCACGUUAGUAGAUGCUACACAUUGAGAAUGGGCUUCUGCAAGGUGCACACCUUUGUUUAGUCUAGCCCUUAGAAGUGGAAUGGCUAGGAGAGCAACAGGUUGAGUUUGGGUUGGUCCCUUUUCCCUGACCUAGCCCGAGGGCGGAGGUAUCACUCUUAAGCCUGUGAUUGGUGGGGGUGCAACCAAUUUAAAAUUUCAAGCAGAUGGGGUUCGUAGGUCUUCCCAUUGGGUUCAAAAAAGUUAUUUUCUAACAUUGUGGUGUUGUUCAUUAGGGAAGUGUUUCCGAAACCAUUUUUUAAGAAAAUAAUUUACAGGUGGCAUGUACUCAUUGCAUGCCUUGACACGGUUGAUUAAGCUCAAUAUAUGGAGUGCUGAAAGGCUUUAUUACUUUUACAGAGAAAUAGGUUUUCUCAAUCCUCAUUGUUACUACACUUUGAAUGUGGGGCAGGAGUACUGUAUCCAAAAGUCUGGUAGUGGAUGUGGAGAAGAUAUAGGGUACUCAAGGCUUACUACGUCAUUGCUAUUGCCCAACCAAUGAAAAUGCACCAUAUCAACUUGGAAUCAGCAAUUUUUUAUAAAUAGGUGGGACAAAUUUCAUUGGGUGGUGCAUUUUAAUUGGGUAGACAUACCAAUAACUUGGUGUGCAUGGCAUGGCAAUGGCAUACCCAAUAUCUACUGUGGAUGUGAGGUCACACGAUUUCGUUAUCGUAAAACUCGACAAAGGCAUAAAAUGAUGUAGUAUCACCCAUUUUGGAGGCAAUGCAGUAAUUCAGUCAUCCUGGUCACACACUUAAGACAGAUUGUAACCUGAAAGUGUUUUAUAAAGUUUAAGCAUCUUCUUGGACGCAAGCAGUGGGCAUGUUGUGUAGCAAGAUAGAUCAAUAAUUUUUGCAAAGGUAAUAAUGGUUGCAUUACCUGUUGCUCCUUAAUUUCACAUAAAGACCUGAGUGCCUUCUGUCCUUUUGGUCUUCUCAUCCUGUUGCUUCUUAUAUACGGGGCAUGGUGGGUACUCCCUGCUGAAGCCUGUCCCGACUCUGUUUACUGACUUCUCUAACCCAUUUAAGUUGGGCAGCCACUGGGCCAGUAUCGAUUUUUAUCGGGUUCAUCGUCAUCGUAGGAAUGGCUAACAAUACAUCUGCUGCUGAUCUUUGAGCGUACUUCUUAUCAAUUGUUUGUUUGGAUUGAAAGCUAGAUUAAAAUAAAUAAAACAGUUUGUUCUUUGCACUUUUAACUUUGAUAUAUAUAGAAGUUUGAACAAAUGAUCUGUUUGGGAAAAACUAGGCUUGUUCAUUAGAUCUACAAGGAACAAUUUUGACAAAAAAAAUUAAAUUUUUUUUUUUCUUUUUCUAGUUGAGUAAAAGAAUGUCAUUAUAUGAGAGACGAUGAUUGUAUAAAAGUUAAGCACAUCUUCCUCCAACAUAAGUACUUUUUCCAAUCCUCAGUGAUAUUGUGACUAAAGAACAGGCACACAAAGUCAAUGUGUAUUGUCUCUGCCACUCUAGUCCCUCUUUUUACAACCAAACCUAACCUGUGCGAGUAAAUGAAUGCUGGAUCAUGCCGAUUCUCAUUUAAACCAUGGUCAUAAGUGUUUUUGUCUAUGAAGAGCUCUCUCUCUCUAAAGUUGAUUAUUUUUUGGUAAUUGUUUGAUAAUAGUUAUAACUUAUUGAAUUUGUUACAGAAAUACUACAAAGACAUUUUAUGCUGCAAGUAUUUUCUUUGAGAUUCUUAAUCAGUUUGGUCAAUUUCAACCUGAUGUGAGUUUCUGAUUACAUUAUUAAUUUUUACACUGAUGGGUUCAUUUACUCUAUAUGUUCAUAUUUAAUAGAUAUCGUGUUAAAAUAGCUGGGCAUAGUUGAUUUAUUAUAUUGGCUAAUAUUGGGUUAAUUUUUAUGUUUAUGACCCUCUAAACAGCUUGAGCAGAAACAGUUAUAUGCAGCGUGGAAAGCUGCCGAUAUAGGAAAAGCUUUGACAGAAGGAAGGAAGCCUGAACCUGGCACCCCUGGUGGUGAUAAAGAUCUAUAUAUACCGUCAAGUACACCUAGUAGGGAAUUUGUAUGAUUCUGUACUUAAUAGGCUCUGCCUGUCUUGUUGAUAGGGUAACAUAGUUAUUGUGAAUCUUGUGAGGGAGGCAAGAUGGGUUUCCUAUUAAACGGCCCUGAAGAGAAGGACGGGAAUGAGCAGAAUCAAUGUGAUUUUGUAGGCCACAAACAUUAGUGAAAGAAGAAUUGGUAUUUUUCUGAAACAGCAGAUAAUGAAAACUAGACAAAGAAACAGAUUACAUCCUCAAAAGAAUAUGUAACAUCACUUUCAACUAACAUUUAAUGCAAUAGUUCUUGUAUUUGAUGGUGAAAAUGUUGACAAGUAUGCAUUGUAGAGGGUUACAUUAUGCAUUGGUUACAGAAUCGAACAAGUUUUUUCGUUCAAACAUACACACAGAUAUAUACAUGCACAUGCACACAUGAAGAUACAUCUGCUUAGACCUUGAUUAGGAAAGAAUUAUAGUAGUAGUUGGACAUUUUGAAGAACUUCUGACGAAUCUGAUUAUUUAUAUGGUUCUACCUUUGCAGGACCCUGAACCAAGCAUUACUGAUACUAUGAAACCUGCUCCAGAACUUGACCCAUCACCUCAGUCCUACGAUAAAGUUAACCCCCAGAAUUCCACGAACAUUCCAUAAUCUACUCCAAUUAUUUCACUGUCAUCUCCUUCUUACCCUACUCCCGGUUAUUUUUCCAAUGAUUUCAAUCUACCAACUUCAACCAACAUAUCAGAAGAUUCUACUUAUUCUCAGCCAUAUAACCAUCAACCAUAUUCACAAGAGCCUCAACUGCAUGUGGCACAAAAUUACCCAUCCCAUGAAAUUCCCUCGUACUCAUAUCCCAAUUUCCAAUCUUACCCUUGUUUUGCAAAGAGUAGCCUCCCAGAAGCACCGUCUCAUUAUCCUUCCUAUCCGGAGUGUUCUGAUUCUUUGUACCCUACCUUGUCAGCUCCUUCCAAUAGGAACUACCCACCAACUGUUCAAUACAAUUAAGGCAGCAGAAAUGGAACUUUUCCAGAAGUUCAACCAGAUCCUGCACAGAUAUACCAAUAUGACAGCAAUAACCAGGCACCACCUGAGAAAAUUGGUGAGGCACACAAGGCUGCAAGGUUCGCAGUUGGGGCUCUGGCAUUCGAUGAUGUGUCUGUUGCAGUGGACCACCUUAAGGAAAUCACUCGAACUACUGACAAAUCCAUCAGCAGGGCAGUUCUUGCUAAUCGGCAACAAUUCUCAGGUUACACUUUAGAACCCAGGGCUGCAUUGCUCGAAGCCCCCUUUUGGUGGAACUUAAAUGCACGGUAAUUCUCAAUGACUUGUUUUAGAUCACAUGGCUAGUAACUUUAUCUUGCAUGGACACUGGACAGUAACUUAUGAUAUAUAGGUAUCGGGAUAUCCUGACUUUGAGAAGUUAAAUGAUUAAUCAUUUCAUUUAGGCUUUGUUUGUUUCGACGUAAAAUAUUUUUCUUUUUCAAGUAAAAUAUUUUAUUUUUAUUUUUAUUUUUUAGUGUUUGGCAAAAGUCUAGGUCGAGUCUAUCUGGCGGGGCGUGUACAAUAAUUUGCCAAAAAUUGAUGGAUGAGUUAUUUUUGUUAGAUUUAAAAAAAUAAAAAAAAAAUUCGUAAAUAUUUUAUGACAGCCAAACACCAGAAAAUUAAAAAUAUUUUUUGAAAAAUAUUUUACAUCCAAACAAACGGAGCCUUAAUUUUAUCAGAAAAUAAAUUUCUGAUGUCUUGGCCCCAGGUUGUCCAUAUCUUAUUUCUGGCUGGUGGGUAAACGGGGCGCAUGUUGUUCUUAGGUUCAAUAUUUCAAUAGCCUGGUGUAUCAUGUCAAACCUAGGAUGUGCACUUGCUCUUUUGAUAGAUAUCGCUACUGCUUUGCAGAAGAUUGAUCACACUACUUAUACUCUUCUGGCAAAAAUCCCUUCACAGAUAGAAGUAGCUUAGUUGAUUUUUAUUUUUUCACCAAAUCCAUCACUUGAACCAUAUUUUUAACCUAUUCUAUAGUGAAUACCAAUGCAAACAUACCAUACUUUGAUUCUAUAGGGAAUACCAUCUCCAAUCUCUCUCUCUUCCUUAAACAAUUGAACCAAGUGAUGGAUUCUUUUGAUAUAUCUAGAUUUUCGAUCUUUGCAUAACCCCACUUCUAUUCUUAUAUUAUCUUUUGCAUCGAUGGCUUUGUCUCCCUUGGUUUGUUAAAUUUAAUCGUUAGGAUUGCAAACAGCACUGUGGUUCAAUCGUUUGUUAGGGUUUGCAAUGAGUUUGCCUUGCGGUGAGACAGUGCAGUGUGAUGAAGAUAACUGAAGAUGAAGUGUGAUGCUACACGAUGAAGUCUAGGGCCCGAAUCAUGCAGCUCUGUUACCAUGAUAGAUUUAUAACGGUUAUAUUUGCAUAGUGAAGAAGAAGAAUUGCUCUAUAUAUUCAAUCGCAAGUCUAAUAAAAUAGAAAGGCAAUAAUACCCUAAAUAGGAAAAUAAAUCCUAAUGUUAAUCUACCAUUAAAGUUCCUUUGCUUUCAUCACCAAUUUUACGAUGCAUUCUUUGUCCUACAAAAAGUUUGGACAAGCCAACAGUAGUUGACUUCUUGUGUGUACAUAACACAAUGUUUCACUUUGGUCUAAUCUGAUUUUAUCCACAUUGGAUAUUGAUAAUAACUAAGCUACCUUCCUAAGAAAGAUCCUUGGAGAAUCCAAUUUGGUAUCUUUUGUAAUCUCUUUCAGAACAUUAUUCCAUAUAUACCAUUUCAACCUGGUGUUCUGUUAAUCAUUCAUUGGUUCAUUUGAGUAUAAGAAAUGGGAGUAACCCUCUGUGGUUUUGGGCAAAAAAGUCCCAAAAGACCGUCGAAAAACAACUCUGAUGAUCGUCAUGUUGUCCUAACAACAUCCAUUAUCAAGUUCAUGAAGCCGAUAUGUCUAUGGACAGCAAAGAAAAAGAAGAGGCAGUUGCAGCCACAAGGGAAGCAACAGCUGCUGCUAAAGAAAAUGAAUCAGCUCAAUACUCUAGAGGAUUGGCUCUCCACUUCACCGGGCUUAAAUGAAGGUUCCUUAAGUGGAGGUGAGUUCCAUGUUCUUAAGCAAUUCUCGAAUAGGGUUCACCCGUCUUUAGCUUCAGAACAUGAAGAUAAGAGUGCUGUGCACGUUUGUGAGGUUGAUGCAGGAGAGAUGCAAGAUUCAUCACUAAGCAAAAGCCAAAGUGUGAAGAUGAAGAAGAAGAAGAAGAGGGUGAGCUUUAGAUUACCAGAAGUGGCUGAUAUUAUCGUGCUUGAUUUAUCGGAUGAAUCCUAUUAAGAGUGGUUAAGAAUCUCUGUACUGUACUUAAUUUCAUUAGAAAAUCUGGUUUGCAGUUUGUUGUUCUUGGUUUCAGCCCUGUUUGGAUUUGUAGAUUCCCUACCACCCCUUUUCCUUUCUCUUCUUGGUGUAGUGCAAGAAAUAAGUGUUUAAUACCAUACAUACUUUCCUCCAUAUUUACCUCUAUUCUAUAAAGUUUUGUUGUUGAUUAUAA